RNAcentral lists this ribosomal RNA (501 nucleotides) under uncultured bacterium. RNAcentral's name for it is "SSU rRNA". It matches the Rfam family "Bacterial small subunit ribosomal RNA", at positions 26 to 514 of the family's 1533-position model. The record is from RNAcentral.
AGAACGAACGCUGGCGGCGUGGAUAAGACAUGCAAGUCGAACGCGACUUAUUCGGUUAGCAAUAACCGGGUGAGUUGAGUAGCGAAAGGGUGCGUAACACGUGGGAAUUUACCAAGAAGUGGGGAAUAGCUCGACGAAAGUCGAAUUAAUACCGCAUACGAUCGCAAGAUCAAAGCCGGGGACCGCAAGGCCUGGCGCUUUUUGAGAAGCCCGCGGCCCAUCAGCUAGUUGGCGGGGUAAAAGCCCACCAAGGCUAUGACGGGUAGCUGGUCUGAGAGGACGACCAGCCACACUGGAACUGAGACACGGUCCAGACACCUACGGGUGGCAGCAGUCGAGAAUUUUUCACAAUGGACGAAAGUCUGAUGGAGCGACGCCGCGUGGAGGAUGAAGGUUUUCGGAUUGUAAACUCUGUCACUGCAGAACAAGGAUACACCUGUGAAUAGCCGGUGUAUUUGAUGGUAUGCGGAGAGGAAGGGACGGCUAACUCUGUGCCAGCAG